AAUAGAUACCCGGGUAGUCCACGCCGUAAACGAUGUCGACUUGGAGGUUGUGCCCUUGAGGCGUGGCUUCCGGAGCUAACGCGUUAAGUCGACCGCCUGGGGAGUACGGCCGCAAGGUUAAAACUCAAAUGAAUUGACGGGGGCCCGCACAAGCGGUGGAGCAUGUGGUUUAAUUCGAUGCAACGCGAAGAACCUUACCUACUCUUGACAUCCAGAGAACUUAGCAGAGAUGCUUUGGUGCCUUCGGGAACUCUGAGACAGGUGCUGCAUGGCUGUCGUCAGCUCGUGUUGUGAAAUGUUGGGUUAAGUCCCGCAACGAGCGCAACCCUUAUCCUUUGUUGCCAGCGAUUCGGUCGGGAACUCAAAGGAGACUGCCAGUGAUAAACUGGAGGAAGGUGGGGAUGACGUCAAGUCAUCAUGGCCCUUACGAGUAGGGCUACACACGUUCUACAAUGGCAUAUACAAAGAGAAGCGACCUCGCGAGAGCAAGCGGACCUCAUAAAGUAUGUCGUAGUCCGGA
This 520-nucleotide ribosomal RNA is filed under the name uncultured bacterium. Its description in RNAcentral is "bacterial SSU rRNA". It matches the Rfam family "Bacterial small subunit ribosomal RNA", at positions 777 to 1297 of the family's 1533-position model. The record is from RNAcentral.